ACUCCUACGGGAGGCAGCAGUGAGGAAUAUUGGACAAUGGGCGAAAGCCUGAUCCAGCCAUGCCGCGUGAGUGAUGAAGGCCCUAGGGUUGUAAAGCUCUUUCAUUGGUGAAGAUAAUGACGGUAACCAAAGAAGAAGCCCCGGCUAACUUCGUGCCAGCAGCCGCGGUAAUACGAAGGGGGCUAGCGUUGUUCGGAAUCACUGGGCGUAAAGCGCGCGUAGGCGGAACUGUAAGUCAGAGGUGAAAGCCCGGGGCCCAACCCCGGAAUUGCCUUUGAAACUACAGUUCUAGAGUCUCGGAGGGGGUAGCGGAAUUCCUAAUGUAGGGGUGAAAUCCGUAGAUAUUAGGAGGAACACCGGUGGCGAAGGCGGCUACCUGGACGAGAACUGACGCUGAGGUGCGAAAGCGUGGGUAGCAAACAGGAUUAGAUACCCUGGUAGUCCACGCCGUAAACGAUGAGUGCUAGUUGUUGGUCCCUUAGGGAGCAGUGACGCAGCUAACGCAUUAAGCACUCCGCCUGGGAAGUACGGCCGCAAGGUUAAAACUCAAAGGAAUUGACGGGGACCCGCACAAGCGGUGGAGCAUGUGGUUUAAUUCGAGGCAACGCGAAGAACCUUACCAGCUCUUGCAUCUCGGUCGCGGAUUGUGGAGACACUUUCCUUCAGCUUGGCUGGACCGAUGACAGGUGGUGCACGGCUGUCGUCAGCUCGUGUCGUGAGAUGUUGGGUUAAGUCCCGCAACGAGCGCAACCCUCAUCCUUAGUUGCUACCAUUUAGCUGAGCACUCUAGGGAAACCGCCGGUGUUAAACCGGAGGAAGGUGGGGACGACGUCAAGUCAUCAUGCCCCUUACGGGCUGGGCUACACACGUGCUACAAUGGUGGUGACAGAGGGAUAAUCCCUAAAAACCAUCUCAGUUCGGAUUGUCGUCUGCAACUCGACGGCAUGAAGUCGGAAUCGCUAGUAAUCGCAGGUCAGCAUACUGCGGUGAUACGUUCCCGGGUCUUGUACACACCGCCCGUCACACCAUGGGAGUUGUUUCUGCCUUAAGUCGGUGAGCCAAUCAGGCAGCCGCCCACGGUAGGAGCAGCGACUGGGGUGAAGUC
This 1105-nucleotide ribosomal RNA is filed under the name uncultured organism. RNAcentral describes it as "bacterial SSU rRNA". It matches the Rfam family "Bacterial small subunit ribosomal RNA", at positions 335 to 1487 of the family's 1533-position model. The record is from RNAcentral.